AGAUUGUGGUAUUGCGUAGGUAUUGUGCACAGUAAUUAUAUAGACUGUGUAUUCUACCUAGGCAUUAUCAUAGUCU
RNAcentral lists this microRNA precursor (76 nucleotides) under Lottia gigantea (owl limpet). RNAcentral's name for it is "mir-242_2 microRNA precursor family". It matches the Rfam family "mir-242_2 microRNA precursor family". The record is from Rfam by way of RNAcentral. Lineage: Eukaryota; Metazoa; Mollusca; Gastropoda; Lottiidae.